RNAcentral lists this unclassified non-coding RNA (2279 nucleotides) under Hevea brasiliensis (rubber tree). The record is from RNAcentral. Lineage: Eukaryota; Viridiplantae; Streptophyta; Magnoliopsida; Malpighiales; Euphorbiaceae.
CUCUCUCUCUCUCUCUAUGUAUCUCUGCAACUAAAGCUUCUGCAGUUUUCACUCAAAUGGUAAUAACCGUAUUUGAAGCCUGCAAGAAAAGAAAAAGAACCCCAAAUAUCUUCACUAUUUCUUACUUUGCCGGCUCCACGGACUCCGCGACGAUGAUGGAGUACUUUCGCGGUUCCUUCAAAGACAACAUCCGAGAGUUUCUUAAACGCUGCGCAGAGACCGAAGAUUACAGUGUUGGAGCCAAUCCUGUAUGGUGUACUUUGCUUGUCAGUGAAUCCAGCGGCGUCGUUUUCCCUCUCUACAUUGUUCAAGAGAACGUCAAGGGCUCCUCGUCCUCCCAGCCUCUCUGUAACCUCUGCAGAUACGUUGGAUGGAGUCACCAUUUUGUGUCUAAAAGAAACUAUCACCUCAUAGUUCCUGAGGAUCAUAACUGGAGUAAGCCUCUAAAGAAAGAAUCCCUUAAGCUGCAAACCCAUCUCUUACAUGGUAUCAUUCAUUGCAAUGGCUUUGGCCAUCUACUCUGCAUCAAGACUGAAACAAUCUCAAACUAUCUUCAAGAAGAAGAGCUUAUGAACCUCUGGGAUCAUCUCUGCGCAAGUCUCCAAACAAGAGAUAUUUCAGUGUAUGAUAUGUCAAAGAAGGGAUUGAUGAACCUUAGAUUGCUUCAUGGAGUCGCGUAUGGCCAUUCUUGGUUCGGCAAAUGGGGUUACAAGUUAUGCCGUGGAAGCUUUGGGCUUACAAAGCAAGAAUACAGCAGAGCCAUUGAGAUCCUCAGGUCACUAGACCUCAGUAAUAUUAUUCAUGACUUCACUAAAAAAGGACAAGGCAAAUUGAUUGAACAAAUGAUUCAAUCUUAUAGAGAUGUUAGCGAGACCCAGUUGGUCACCAUCAGUGAUUUGCUCCAAUUCAUGCUUGCUUUUAAGUUCAAAUCCCUCAUCCAAAGGAAAACAGCCUUAGCAUUGGCUUCAAUCUCGUCAAAUUCCUCAACACAAACAACCCAUCAAGCCAAAACACCUUUGCUUAGCCAUCCUAGUGAGGAUAACUCAUUUGCUUCUCAGAAUACAGAUGACCAUCGGACACUUUCUUCUUUUGUUGCUAAAUUGGAUGCUAGAUGGCCUGCAAGAAGAUUAGAGAAUGCAGUGAAAGUGAUUUUUCACAUUUUGAAAACACAUGGGGCUGGAAUGCAUCGCCAGGACUUGCGAGACGCCAUUAGAGAACACAUUGGUGACACUGGUUUGAUUGAUUUUGUUCUAAAACAUAUUAAUAAAGUUAUUGUGGGCAAUCAAAUUAUUCUACGUGAAAACAACCCAACUACCAAAUUAUUAGAGUUUUCACUUGAAAAAGCUUCUGAUGGAGCAAUUGAAAGGAAAACGCAGUCCCAUACUGAUAUUCUGUCUCUACAACCAGGACUAGAUGUUUAUAAGGAUCUGCUUUUCUUGUACAAGAAUGUUUUAUUAGGCUACCCUGAAUAUCACGCAGUUAGCAUAGCGUCCACUGUAGUCUUGGACAGCAAGCAUUUUGUUAAGAAGUGGCAGUUUAAGAGAAAUGGCGAGGAUAAUUUACUGAGGCUAAUUUGCCAAGUUAAGCCGAGUUACGAUGAAUUGGUGAAUGAGCUGAUUCGACCAUUGCCACCAGGUGAACUGGUGGUGACCCAAAAAUGUGCUACAGUUCGUGAGCUCAAACUGAUGGUGCAAUGUGCAUUAAUAGACACAUAUUUUGUAAUGGACAAGUUUGUAGUGAAGGAUAUACGGAUUGGUGAAUUGGUGGCAAAGGAGGACCAAGAAUUACUUGAGUGUGGAGUGGAGCAGGGUAUGCAAGUUUGGGUGAGAGGCUGUGGAUUGGACUUGGAUACAGAACUGAGGUACCAAGGUGGGGAUAAUGAUUGGACCGUGGAUUGUAGGUGUGGGGCCAAGGAUGAUGACGGAGAGAGAAUGGUGGCAUGUGAUGUUUGCCAUGUUUGGCAGCAUACUAGGUGCAAUGGCAUUAACGAUGGUGAUGUUCCUCCUUCGUUUCUGUGUCAUGUGUGCAGGUCCAGGAUGAAGAAGCUGGCUGGGGGCAAGAUGUAAUUCCCACGAGAAACACAAAUUUGCAGUAUAGCUCCUGAAAACGUGUUGCCUCAAUAUUCAUGCAAGAUUAUUGUUCAAAAGAAGAAUUCACUUGGCAUGAUUCCGUUAUCCAGUUACUGAUUUAUUUUUUAAUUUUGAAAAGAAAAUUUACAAAGCAGAUUAAAUUGUAUUUAGAAUUAAAAAUGCAAUAUUCUAUCAAGUACAAAUAUCAAA